UACGAAGGGGGCUAGCGUUGUUCGGAAUCACUGGGCGUAAAGCGCACGUAGGCGGAUUGUUAAGUCGGGGGUGAAAUCCUGGAGCUCAACUCCAGAACUGCCUUCGAUACUGGCGGUCUCGAGUUCGGGAGAGGUGAGUGGAACUGCGAGUGUAGAGGUGAAAUUCGUAGAUAUUCGCAAGAACACCAGUGGCGAAGGCGGCUCACUGGCCCGAUACUGACGCUGAGGUGCGAAAGCGUGGGGAGCAAACAGG
RNAcentral lists this ribosomal RNA (253 nucleotides) under uncultured bacterium. Its description in RNAcentral is "partial 16S ribosomal RNA". It matches the Rfam family "Bacterial small subunit ribosomal RNA", at positions 524 to 776 of the family's 1533-position model. The record is from RNAcentral.